This 280-nucleotide ribosomal RNA is filed under the name uncultured prokaryote. Its description in RNAcentral is "partial 16S ribosomal RNA". It matches the Rfam family "Bacterial small subunit ribosomal RNA", at positions 524 to 803 of the family's 1533-position model. The record is from RNAcentral.
UGCGUAGGGGCUAGCGUUAUCCGGAAUUACUGGGCGUAAAGGGUGCGUAGGUGGUUUCUUAAGUCAGAGGUGAAAGGCUACGGCUCAACCGUAGUAAGCCUUUGAAACUGGGAAACUUGAGUGCAGGAGAGGAGAGUGGAAUUCCUAGUGUAGCGGUGAAAUGCGUAGAUAUUAGGAGGAACACCAGUUGCGAAGGCGGCUCUCUGGACUGUAACUGACACUGAGGCACGAAAGCGUGGGGAGCAAACAGGAUUAGAUACCCGGGUAGUCCCUGAGCGGG